AUAUGUUUAAAUCUGUCUUCCAUUUUACAAGUGAACCUCAGAUGCAGGAGGUGGUGUGUGUUGCGUCCCCAGAUGAUUUACUGCUGAGACCAACUGUGUUUGUAGCCAGACCAGGAAUCCAUGGCUGAAGGAGCUGAUGGAGGAGCCGUGCUGAAGGCCCUGCCUGGUGGAGGAGCUGAUGGAGGCCCUGCCUGGUGGAGGAGCUGAUGGAGGCCCUGCCUGGGGGAGGUGCUGAUGGUGGCCCUGCCUGGUGAAGGAUGUCUUUCCUGGGGCAGAUGGAGCCUGACUCUGAAGUGAUCAUCACACUCACUGCCACUACUCGUAGAAUACUGCUACCACAAACUACCCGCGUUUGUUAAUAUACCAGACCACUACAUCUGUUUUACCACAUGUUGAAGCAAGACUUUCGCUGUUUGUUCCUGACCAGGACUCUGUCUGAGGAGAGCUGUUGGAGGAGCUGAGACGCUGGAAUAGAUCAACAAGGAUUCCUCAACGUGUUUCUGGAGCGGAGGCGAGCUGAUAAGGGAGCCGUGAAUCUGGAGGAUGACCUCACACUACCAAGAAGGAUUACGUUGGGGCCAGACUUGCGCUGUUUGUUCCAGACCAGGACUCUGGCUGAGGAGAGCUGAUGGAGGAGCCAAGGCUCUGGAGGACGACGUCACGUUACCAACAAGGAUCCUCGUAAAUUUGCAUAAAGUAAACAGAGUGGACUUGUUGUAA
Molecule: long non-coding RNA, 720 nt
Filed under: Gadus morhua (Atlantic cod)
Lineage: Eukaryota; Metazoa; Chordata; Actinopteri; Gadiformes; Gadidae
Description: lncRNA (ENSGMOG00000026783.1)
Source: RNAcentral